UACGGAGGAUGCAAGCGUUAUCCGGAUUCAUUGGGUUUAAAGGGUGCGCAGGCGGGCUUGUAAGUCAGUGGUGAAAUGCUGCCGCUUAACGGUAGAAUUGCCAUUGAUACUGCAGGUCUUGAAUAUAGUUGAGGUAGGCGGAAUGUGUUGUGUAGCGGUGAAAUGCAUAGAUAUGACACAGAACACCGAUUGCGAAGGCAGCUUACUAAGCUAUUAUUGACGCUGAGGCA
RNAcentral lists this ribosomal RNA (230 nucleotides) under uncultured microorganism. Its description in RNAcentral is "partial 16S ribosomal RNA". It matches the Rfam family "Bacterial small subunit ribosomal RNA", at positions 524 to 753 of the family's 1533-position model. The record is from RNAcentral.